UAUCAUUAUUUUUAUUGUACAUUAUUAUUUUUUAAGUGUAGACCUAUGUUAUAUGUAUUAUAUAAUAUUAUUAUUACACACUUGUAUUAUAUUAUUGUACAUUUUAUUCAGAUACGGUUACAAGCCAUUUCCCCACCAGUCCUAGCAGGACUCAGUAAUCUUCCACAUUUAUGUACUGUAUGGUGGCUUAUUUGAAAUUUUUUAUGAAAAUUAUUAAAUUAUGAAUAUUUAAUAUUGUUUUUUUUUCUUCUUUUUGUUGGAUUAGCGUGUGAUAAAGAAUAGAAUAGACAUUUUGCAGCUAAGCUGCCUGACCAGUCUUUCCAUAGAAACAAUAAUGAUGACUUGGUUAAAUCUUCUUGCAAAAGUGCAGUCUUUACAUGUGCUAUCUUGUUACAGGAAAGCAUCAGGUGAAAAGAAAAGGGCUUCAGCGCAACAGAGGCUGGCAAAGCAUAGGGCAACAGUUUACAGCGAUCCAAUCUUACAUGAGGAACACAAAAGGAAAGAGAGAGAAAGGUAUCAAAAACGUAAGGAAGCUGGUAAACUUAAAACUACUAAAGAUCUGACAAGCAAACAGCUCGAAAGAAGAAAGCAACAAUGGCGGUAGAACUCACAAAAUUAUUACAAAAGAAAAAAGCAGCAGCAAG
Cyprinodon tularosa is the source of this 644-nucleotide long non-coding RNA. RefSeq lists it as uncharacterized. NCBI's taxonomy places the organism in Eukaryota, Metazoa, Chordata, Actinopteri, Cyprinodontiformes, Cyprinodontidae. The record is from RefSeq and is a predicted model, not a curated record. The transcript has 2 exons.